CCUACGGGAGGCAGCAGUGGGGGAUAUUGCACAAUGGAGGAAACUCUGAUGCAGCAACGCCGCGUGAGGGAAGAAGGUCUUCGGAUUGUAAACCUCUGUCCUCAGGGACGAUAAUGACGGUACCUGAGGAGGAAGCUCCGGCUAACUACGUGCCAGCAGCCGCGGAAAUACGUAGGGAGCAAGCGUUGUCCGGAUUUACUGGGUGUAAAGGGUGCGUAGACGGCCCUGCAAGUCAGGUGUGAAAACUCUGGGCUUAACUCAUAGGUUGCACUUGAAAUCGUGGGGAUUGAGUGAAGUAGAGGCGGGCGGAAUUCCCCGUGUAGCAGUGAAACGCGUAGUGUUCGGGAAGAACACCGGUGGCGAAGGCGGGCUGCUGGGCUUUAACUGACGCUGGGGCACGAAAGCGUGGGUAGCAAACAGGAUUAGAUACCCGUGUAGUC
RNAcentral lists this ribosomal RNA (440 nucleotides) under uncultured bacterium. Its description in RNAcentral is "bacterial SSU rRNA". It matches the Rfam family "Bacterial small subunit ribosomal RNA", at positions 338 to 795 of the family's 1533-position model. The record is from RNAcentral.